This 465-nucleotide ribosomal RNA is filed under the name uncultured Klebsiella sp. RNAcentral's name for it is "bacterial SSU rRNA". It matches the Rfam family "Bacterial small subunit ribosomal RNA", at positions 338 to 795 of the family's 1533-position model. The record is from RNAcentral. Lineage: Bacteria; Pseudomonadati; Pseudomonadota; Gammaproteobacteria; Enterobacterales; Enterobacteriaceae.
CCUACGGGGGGCUGCAGUGGGGAAUAUUGCACAAUGGGCGCAAGCCUGAUGCAGCCAUGCCGCGUGUGUGAAGAAGGCCUUCGGGUUGUAAAGCACUUUCAGCGGGGAGGAAGGCGUUAAGGUUAAUAACCUUGUCGAUUGACGUUACCCGCAGAAGAAGCACCGGCUAACUCCGUGCCAGCAGCCGCGGUAAUACGGAGGGUGCAAGCGUUAAUCGGAAUUACUGGGCGUAAAGCGCACGCAGGCGGUCUGUCAAGUCGGAUGUGAAAUCCCCGGGCUCAACCUGGGAACUGCAUUCGAAACUGGCAGGCUAGAGUCUUGUAGAGGGGGGUAGAAUUCCAGGUGUAGCGGUGAAAUGCGUAGAGAUCUGGAGGAAUGCCGGUGGCGAAGGCGGCCCCCUGGACAAAGACUGACGCUCAGGUGCGAAAGCGUGGGGAGCAAACAGGAUUAGAUACCCCUGUAGUC